This 407-nucleotide ribosomal RNA is filed under the name uncultured Nostocales cyanobacterium. RNAcentral's name for it is "bacterial SSU rRNA". It matches the Rfam family "Bacterial small subunit ribosomal RNA", at positions 355 to 776 of the family's 1533-position model. The record is from RNAcentral. Lineage: Bacteria; Bacillati; Cyanobacteriota; Cyanophyceae; Nostocales.
UGGGGAAUUUUCCGCAAUGGGCGAAAGCCUGACGGAGCAAUACCGCGUGAGGGAGGAAGGCUCUUGGGUUGUAAACCUCUUUUCUCAGGGAAGAAGAAAGUGACGGUACCUGAGGAAUAAGCAUCGGCUAACUCCGUGCCAGCAGCCGCGGUAAUACGGAGGAUGCAAGCGUUAUCCGGAAUGAUUGGGCGUAAAGGGUCCGCAGGUGGCAUUGUAAGUCUGCUGUUAAAGAGUUUGGCUCAACCAAAUAAAAGCAGUGGAAACUACAAAGCUAGAGUGUGGUCGGGGCAGAGGGAAUUCCUGGUGUAGCGGUGAAAUGCGUAGAUAUCAGGAAGAACAUCGGUGGCGAAGGCGCUCUGCUAGGCCAAGACUGACACUGAGGGACGAAAGCUAGGGGAGCGAAUGGG